RNAcentral lists this ribosomal RNA (305 nucleotides) under uncultured bacterium. RNAcentral describes it as "bacterial SSU rRNA". It matches the Rfam family "Bacterial small subunit ribosomal RNA", at positions 335 to 661 of the family's 1533-position model. The record is from RNAcentral.
AACCUACGGGAGGCAGUAGGGAAUAUUGCACAAUGGGGGAAACCCUGAUGCAGCGACGCCGCGUGAGUGAAGAAGUAUUUCGGUAUGUAAAGCUCUGUCAGCAGGGAAGAAAAUGACGGUACCUGACCAAGAAGCCCCGGCUAACUACGUGCCAGCAGCCGCGGUAAUACGUAGGGGGCAAGCGUUAUCCGGAUUUACUGGGUGUAAAGGGAGCGUAGACGGCAGGGCAAGUCUGGAGUGAAAGGCGGGGGCUCAACCCCCGGACUGCUCUGGAAACUGUAAAGCUGGAGUGCGGGAGGGGCAGG